Molecule: unclassified non-coding RNA, 329 nt
Filed under: soil metagenome
Description: partial contains 5.8S ribosomal RNA, internal transcribed spacer 2, and large subunit ribosomal RNA
Rfam family: 5.8S ribosomal RNA (bases 1-120)
Source: RNAcentral
GAUGAAGAACGUAGCGAAAUGCGAUAAGUAGUGUGAAUUGCAGAAUUCAGUGAAUCAUCGAAUCUUUGAACGCACAUUGCGCCCCUUGGUAUCCCGAGGGGCAUGCCUGUUCGAGCGUCAUUUCACCACUCAAGCCUGGCUUGGUGUUGGGCGACGUCCCCUUUGGGGACGCGCCUCGAAACGCUCGGCGGCGUGGCACCGGCCUUAAGCGUAGCAGAAUCUUUCGCUUUGGAAGUCGGGGCCCCGUCUGCCGGAAGACCUACUCGCAAGGUUGACCUCGGAUCAGGCAGGGAUACCCGCUGAACUUAAGCAUAUCAAUAAGCGGAGGA